AUAUAGACUAAAAUAAUUUUUAUCAUAAAAGCUCCUGGAAAGUCAUAGAUGUUGGUGAUCUUCAUAUAAGUCUUCACCGCUUGCAAUAGAUAGUUAAUUGUAAUAUCAUAGCUAAUACAGUCUCAUAGAUAAGCAAAAAAUGCUUCUCUAUCGAUCGAGAUCAAAAUCCAUUUUUUUGUAAUAUUUGUGUUCAAAUCUUUUCCACAAAGAAUGCUUUGAACAAAAUAAAGCAAGCACAACGUUUUUUUUAUAUAUAUUUCGAUGUCGAAGAAUUUGGUAUACUUAUUUGAAAUUUAAUAUUCACAUCUUUAAGUUGUAAGUAAUUUUCGAGAAUAGAAGAUCAAAAGAACUUUUUCAAUUUUUAUUCAUCUAAAAUCAGAAAACUUACAUAAUUUUGACUUAGUAGUGAAAGAGUCUCUUAAAUCUAGACUAGAUCAUAUUAAUCAUUAACUCAAAACUGUAAUUUGCAUACUUAAUCGGCUUCACAAAGAAGUUAUCGAAUAAAGUACUGAUCGGAGAAGGAGAAGAGUCAGCAAUAAGAGAUGUCUCAUUCUCUAGAAUAGGUAUAUCAUGUUGUUCCUCCGCAACUCCUUCACUAAAUUAAAAAAAGAUUUGACUUGACCUGGUCAAACUUGUCACCAAUUUCAAUUCUUUCUUGUGACUUGGGUUUUCCAUUUUUUGUAAAAAUAAAAAUCAGAUUUUUCUUAUGUUGUAAUUCUAACUCCCGCCAUUGUUAUACAUGUUUGUGGUUGCAUUGAUUAAGGAGGAGGAGAAAAUGGAUAUCGAUCAGUAAGAAGCCCAUGUAUUGGAUAUUUUAGAUUGGCUAAGCCCACUAAAUUCGAGGCUAAUAUCUCAAUUUAGAGGAAGGAAAAAGUUUGAUUUCAAGAAGGAAACUAUUUUCUUGGAAAACAAUUGAGUUUUUUUGCUUAUUUUCUAUUGUUUGCUAAGUAAGCAAGAAAAUAUUAUUCUAAGAGCAUUUAAAUGCUAUUUAGAAAAACACAAUGGAGGCGGU
RNAcentral lists this long non-coding RNA (1012 nucleotides) under Solanum tuberosum (potato). RNAcentral's name for it is "long non-coding RNA (STUB_LNC009193)". Lineage: Eukaryota; Viridiplantae; Streptophyta; Magnoliopsida; Solanales; Solanaceae. The record is from RNAcentral.